Molecule: long non-coding RNA, 448 nt
Filed under: Solanum tuberosum (potato)
Lineage: Eukaryota; Viridiplantae; Streptophyta; Magnoliopsida; Solanales; Solanaceae
Description: long non-coding RNA (STUB_LNC003146)
Source: RNAcentral
AAAAAUCCUUUUGGCCAGAAAAUUUGGCCAUAAUUUGGCCAUAAUGGCCCAAAUACAUGUUCAUACUAUAAACUGAUUUAUUUUUUUGACAACUAUACCCUUCUUUGUCAAAUUUAUAUUUUUCUUAUUAAUUUGUUCAUUAAUUAUGCUUCAAUAAAUGAAAAGGUUUUCCAAUACAUUGUAAAUUGACUAAUUUUUAAAUUUCUCUAACUUCCAUACAUACAUGGCUUUUAAUUUCUUUUAGAAAUAUUGUGAAAUGGUCAAAGGCCAAUACAUAUGUAGUUUUUUUUUUCUUCCUUAAUUUUCUGAUAAAAAAUCUAUAAAGAAUACAAAAUUUAAAUUGAUAAUUAGAAUACAAAAUUUAAAAUUUAGAAUAUAUAAUUUAAAAUUUACAUUACAAAAUGAAUUUACUCAUAAAAUUAAAUUCAAAAUAAUUUUAACUCAAACU